GAAUGAUGAGUCUAAAUUGUCACUCCUUGCCUUACCUGUUCUGAGAAGAAGGCUCUUGAUUUUCAAGGUCAAAUUCCCACACCUCUCUACCCCAUGUACUCCACGCUUAGAUAACAAUACAGUGCCUCUCUUUCUUUACCUCUUUCCCCACAAUUUCUUCCUUUUUCUUGAAUCCCAGCCCAUCCUUGAGGCCUGCCACCAAUUGGAAGAUCUUCAGUUCCACCUCUUUCCUGGACAUCUGACUGUAUUGCCCAUCAUUGUCUAUGCUCUGCCCACCGAGAAGAUGCAUCUGGAUCCCUGGUGUCACUUAUUGCUGAACUGUUUGAAUACCAAGUUAUACCGACCUGAAUCUCCCAAGUACCAACAGCAGCCUGGCUCGAAGCCAGAAGGAAUGACUGGAUAUCCCAAGUACCUGAUGGCCACAUAAACAUUUGAAGUAUCAAGCAUUAGAAGAAAGUGAGAACGUCAGGCCUGUAAUCCCAGCACUUUGGGAGGCAGGUGGAUCGCUUGAACUCAGGAGUUGGAAACCAGCCUGCGGAAAAUGGUGAAAUCCCAUCUCUACAAAAAUUACAGAAAUUAGCCGGGCAUGGUGGUCCAUACCUGUAGUCCCAGCUACUUGGGGGUCUGAGGCAGCAGGAUCCCUCCUUGAGCCCAGGAGGUCGAGGCUGUGGUGAGCCGAGAUCACGCCACUGCACUCCAGCCUCGGUGACAGCGUGAGACCCUGUCUCAAAAAACAAACAAACAAAAACGCAAACAAAAAACAACAACAAACCUCUAUUCUUUCAGGAAUUUUGAAAUAUACAAUACAUUAUUAUUAACUAGAGUCACCUUGAUGUGCAAUAGAUCUAAAACUGAUUCCUCCUGUCUAACUGAAACUUCGCAUCCUCUGACCAACAUUUCUCAGACCAUAAUCCCUGGUAGCCGCCAUUGUACUCUCUACUUCUACAAGUUUGACAUUCUUAGCAUCUACAUAUAAAUGAUACCAUGCAAUAUUUUUCUUUCUGUGCCUGACUUAUUUCACUUAGCAUAACGUUCUUCAAGUUCAUGCAGGUUAUCAAAAAAUUACAGGAUUUCCUUCUUUUCUACGGCUGAAAGGCUGAAUAUUAUUCUAUUGUGUAUACGUGCCACAUUUUCUUCAUCCAUUCAUCUGCUGAUGGACACUUAGGUUGCUGCCUUAUCUUGGCUGUGGUGAACAGUGCUGCAAUGAAAAUAUCUCACUGAUGUACUGAGCUCAAUUUCUUUGGAUACAUACCCAAAAAUGGGAUUGCUAGACUAUAUGGUAAUUUUAUUUUUAGUUUUUGAGUAAGCUCCACACUGUUUUCCAUAAUGGCUGUACUAAUUUCUAUUUCCACCAAGAGUGUACUUUUCUUCCACAUCCUUGCCAACACUUGUUAUAUUUCAUCGUUUUGAUAAUGAACAUCCUAAUAGGUAUAAGCUGGUAUCUCAUUGUGGUUUUAAUUUGCAUUUACCUGAUAAUUAGUGAUGUUGAUGACUCUUUUUGUAUAUAUCUUGGCAAUUUGUAUGUCUUCUUUUGAGAAAUGUCUAUUUAGGUCUUUUGUUCACUUUUAAAUCUGUUUUAAAUAUUUUCUUUUUAUUGAGUUUUUUGAGUUCCUUAUGUAUUUUGGAUAUUAGCUCCUUAUCAGAUGUAUGGUUUGCAAACUUUCCUCCUGUUUUUUACAGUUUCAGUUAAGCAAAUUGAUAAAUGUGAUUCACCAUAUUAAUAGAAGAAAGGACAAACAACAUAUGAUCAUUUCAAUAGAUGCAGAAAAAGCAUUUGACAAAAUUUAACAUCCUUUCAUGAAAAAACCUCAGUAUAUUAGAUAAGAAGGAAUGUUCCUCAACAUGAUAGAAGCCAUAUAUGACAAGUUCAUAGCUAACAUCAUACUCAAUGGUGAAAAGUUAAUACCUUUUUCUUUAAGACCAGGAAGAAGACAAGGAUUCCCACUUUCAUCACUGCUAUUCAGCAUAGUACUGGAAGUCCUAGCCAGAAAAACUAUGCAAGCAAAAGAAAUAAAAAGCAUCCAUAUAGGAAAAGAAACAGUGAAAUUAUCUCUAUUUGCUGACAACAUAAUCUUACAUAUAGAAAACUCUAAGAUUCCAAAGUCAGAACUGUUAGAAACUAAUAAAUGAAUUCAGUAAAGUUGCAGGAUAUAAAAUCAGCAUACAAAAAUUAGUAGCAUUUCUAUGCACUAACAAUGAACUAUCUAAAAAAGAAAUUAAGAAGACAACUCCAUUUAUGAUAGCAUCAAGGAAAGACAAUAUAGAGGAAUAAUGUUAACCAAGGAAGUGAAAGAUCUGAUCCUGAAACCUACAGGAAAUUGAUGAAAGAAAUUGAAGACAACACAUAUAAAUGAAAAGAUAUCCAGUAUUAAAGGACUGACAGAAUUAAUAUUGUUUAAAUAUCCAUAUCACCCAAAGUGAUCUACAGAUUCAAUGCUAUCCCUAUCAAAAUUCCAACGUCUUUCUUCACAGAUUUAGAAAAAUAAUCCUAAAAUUUGUAUAGAACUACAAAAGACCCAAAUAGCCAAAGCAAUUUUGAGCAAAAAGAACAAAAAGCAUCACACUCCUUGAUUUCAAAAUAUAUUACAAAGCUAUAGUAAUUAAAACAGCAUGGUGGCUGUGCCCAGUGGCUCACACUUGUAAUCCCAGCACUUUGGGAGGCUGAGGCAGGUGGAUCAUGAGGUCAGGAGCUCGAGACCAGCCUGGCCAAGAUGGUGAAACCCCAUCUCUACUAAAAAUACAAAAAUUAGCUGGGCACGGUGGCAAGCACCUGUAAUCCCAGCUACUCAGGAGGCUGAGGCAGGAGAAUCACUUGAACCCGGGAGGCAGAGGUUGCAAUGAGCAAAGAUGGCACCACUGUACUCCAGCCUGGAUGACAGAGUGAGACUCCUUCUCAAAACAAAACAAAACAAAACAGUAUGGUGCUGGCAUAAACACAGACACAUCAACCAAUGGAACAAGAUAGACAGCCCGGAAAUAAACCUAUAUGUUUACAGUUGAUUUAUUUUUGACAAAGGAAUCAAGAACACAAAAUGGGACACGGAUAGUGUCUUCAAUAAAUGGUGUUUGGAAACUGGAUAUCCACAUAUAGAAGAAUAAAACUGUAACCUUAUCUCACCCCAUACACUUUUCAAGCCAAAGUCCUGUGUAUUGCAUGUGAUUGCUGGAAAAUAAAUCAUAACCUUUGUCUUAGUUCAUGCUGCUGUAACAAGAAUAUCAUAGACUUAACGGCUUAAACAACAAACAUUAAUUUCUCACAAUUCUAGAGGCUAGAAGUCUGAGAUCAGGGUGCCGGCAGGGUCAGGUUCUGGUAAGGACCCUCAUCCUGAUUUUCUCACGUGCCAGGAAGGAGAGAGAGAUAGAGGGAUAGAAACAGCAAUCUCUCUUAUGUCUCAAGUCUCUCUCUCUUUUUUAAAAAAAAUUUUAGAG
This 3429-nucleotide long non-coding RNA is filed under the name Homo sapiens (human). Its description in RNAcentral is "HSALNT0347057". Lineage: Eukaryota; Metazoa; Chordata; Mammalia; Primates; Hominidae. The record is from RNAcentral.